UUUUUAUUUAAAGUUGAACUAUUCUUAAUAGUGUAACAUUAAAAUAUAGUUAAGUAAAAAU
RNAcentral lists this transfer RNA (61 nucleotides) under Eleutherocaulis alte. RNAcentral describes it as "Laevicaulis alte tRNA-Lys". The record is from RNAcentral. Lineage: Eukaryota; Metazoa; Mollusca; Gastropoda; Systellommatophora; Veronicellidae.